Molecule: non-coding RNA, 2268 nt
Organism: Lactuca sativa (garden lettuce)
Lineage: Eukaryota; Viridiplantae; Streptophyta; Magnoliopsida; Asterales; Asteraceae
Source: RefSeq, a predicted model, not a curated record
AUUUGUCCAUGUUAAUAUGAUUUUCUUUUUUUUUCUUAUUUUUUUUUUAUGAUUUUCAGAUUUAAAAAAAUAAAAAUAAAAAUAAACAAAUCUCUCUCUCUCUCCCUCUCUCUCUCUCUCUCUCUCUCUCUCUCUCUCUCUCUCUUUCUCUUAUUUAUUUAUUUUUUGAUUUUUAGAUUUUAAAAAAAUAAAAAAUAAAAAUAAAAAUAAAUAUCUCUCUCUCUCUCUCUCUCUCUCUCUCUCUCUAGAAAACCCAAGCACAAAAGGAGGCUGCUACCCUCAGUUCCAACCAUGUUUUCUUCUUCUUUCUCGAUGACAAGAAACCUAAACACCCCCAUACUUGUUACUGCCUCCUUUCGUCUUCUCUUCUUCGGGUUUAAACCAGAAAACCUCCACCCGAGUUGAGGUUUUUCGGUUGUCAAGAGGGAAACAACCCCCUCUCGUUUUCCUUGUGCUUUUCAUCGGCUUCAUAGCAACCCAAAUGCCCCACCUAUUAUUGUUCUAUCUCCAAUCUACCUUACCCUUCCCCUUCGCGUUUUCUUCCAGAUAAGAAUAGGAAUAGUCAAAAGGCCGCAGGAGCAGCCCCUUAACUGCAGUAGUCAACAAGAGCCUUUGUUGGUUCGUUCUUCUCCUUCCCCCAACCUAUUCAGAUCUUUAUUGCCUCCAUUCCCUCCUCCACUCUCCUGUUGUUGGUACCCAAACGCCAAUAAAUAAUUGAAGAGCAUUGACUCCUCAGGAAUCCCCAAAUUGAAGAUGCAAUACAACACCAAAUCAAACCUAAUAAGGUAAAAACGAAGAGUACAAGCUCUUUCUCUCUAUGUAUUUCUGUGGGAAUCUUCUGGGAAUCACUUCUAUGGCUCUUGAAAUCGGGGUUGAUUGUGUCUCUUCAAAUCACUUCUUCUUGAGAGUGAAGGCACACAUCAGAGCAUCAAGUGAAAAAAUUUAGCAAAUAGGUUUGCUCGUCUAUUUCCAGCUCUUUUUCAUGGAAAUCUAAGAUAUGUACUUUUCUCCUUACGUUUCUGGAUGAAUCCGAUUUGAUUUUUUUACCCAAAUCAAAACAGAGAGAAAGGAGAAGAUCCUAAGAGAAAUUAGUUUCAUUAUGUUUGUAGAGAUAAUAUGAAGAUGCGGACAAGAAAGGGUGUGACCUGAAGAUCUGAGAUUGAAGAAGAUGAUGGUGGUAUGUGUUCUUGGGAUGUGUAGAGAGAGAGAGAGAGAGAUUUAUUUUCUUUUUCUAAAUCUAAAAAUCAGAAAAAUAAAUAAGAGAGAGAGAGAGAUUUAUUUUAUUUUUAUUUUUUUUAAAUAUGAAAAUCAGAAAAAAAAAAGAAAAUCAUUUUAACAAUGGCAAAUUCGUCAUUUUGAAAAAAAUCAAAAUAGAUUGGACGAAACAAGAAACAAAAUGAAACCAUUGGACCUGUGCUGCUAGUCCAAACCUUUUUGGACCAAAGUGAUAAUUUGAGCAAACCACAGUGACUAUUUGUGCAGUUUAAUCUUUGCAAAACCAAUUUGCAAUGCUGUUUAUUUAUUUAUUUUUAGAAUAACAAUUUGCAAUGCUAUAUCAUACAUAUGCAAUCAAGUGUUAGCUAUACUUUUGUAACAUCCGGAUUUCCAGGUAUCAUAAUUUAAGUAUUUAUUUUUGAGCUAAGAAGAGGGACUCGACGAGUUGACGCCUAAACUCGUCGAAUAGGAUCACAACUGAUGACUCGGAUUAAUGAAUGGACUCGACGAGUCGGUGAGUCGACUCGAAGAGUCCGCGCUGUUGGCAGAAACCCUAAUUCUUUGGGCCCGAGUCCUAUUUAAAGGCACUUAUAGCCUUCAAUUGCGGCUACCUUCCCAGAAGAGAGAACCCUAGCGAGCUUGAGUGUGUAGAGUGAGAGAAAGAGCUAUCUUGAGCUUUUUGGUGUGAUUUUGCAAGAAAGGAGAAGAGUUCCAGCAAGAGGGACCAGAGGAGGUUGUUGUUCUAAGUUAUUCAAGGAAGGAGCUUCAUUCUGAGAUCGGGGAUUCGAGCACGAGAGUUCUCUAGACAUCUUACGAGGUACUAGCGAGGAUCGCAGGAAGGCACCGACAUGAUUUGUACACACUGACAGAGGAUUUUGUAUUUGAGAUUCUGGGAUAUGUUUUACCAUGAUAACAUUUGAUACACUCGAGUUUUGAGAUGAUUUGUAUGAGACAUGUUAUGUUUGAAAAUUGAAAAAUUGUUUUGAAAAUUUACGUUGUUACAAGUUGGUAUCAGAGCCUUGGUUUGAGGGAUUCGGAUGCACCUUCGGGCGU